CCUACGGGAGGCAGCAGUGGGGAAUCUUGGACAAUGGGCGCAAGCCUGAUCCAGCCAUGCCGCGUGAGUGAUGAAGGCCCUAGGGUCGUAAAGCUCUUUCGCCUGUGAUGAUAAUGACAGUAGCAGGUAAAGAAACCCCGGCUAACUCCGUGCCAGCAGCCGCGGUAAUACGGAGGGGGUUAGCGUUGUUCGGAAUUACUGGGCGUAAAGCGCGCGUAGGCGGGUUGUUAAGUUAGAGGUGAAAUCCCGGGGCUCAACCCCGGAACUGCCUUUAAUACUGGCAACCUAGAGUUCGAGAGAGGUGAGUGGAAUUCCGAGUGUAGAGGUGAAAUUCGUAGAUAUUCGGAGGAACACCAGUGGCGAAGGCGGCUCACUGGCUCGAUACUGACGCUGAGGUGCGAAAGUGUGGGGAGCAAACAGGAUUAGAUACCCUGGUAGUCCACACCGUAAACGAUGAAUGCCAGUCGUCGGGUAGCAUGCUAUUCGGUGACACACCUAACGGAUUAAGCAUUCCGCCUGGGGAGUACGGUCGCAAGAUUAAAACUCAAAKGAAUUGACGG
Molecule: ribosomal RNA, 560 nt
Filed under: uncultured Alphaproteobacteria bacterium
Lineage: Bacteria; Pseudomonadati; Pseudomonadota; Alphaproteobacteria
Description: bacterial SSU rRNA
Rfam family: Bacterial small subunit ribosomal RNA
Source: RNAcentral